Molecule: long non-coding RNA, 556 nt
Organism: Episyrphus balteatus (marmalade hoverfly)
Lineage: Eukaryota; Metazoa; Arthropoda; Insecta; Diptera; Syrphidae
Exons: 3
Source: RefSeq, a predicted model, not a curated record
UUGGCAUUAUAUGUGUCAGUUUGAAAAAAAAAAUCUUCUAAUUCACACCCACUUUUUGCAGAAAAAUUACCUAAGCCCGACAAUUUUCAUGAUUUUUUUCCUCAGUUUGUUGAAGCUGAUCAAAACAACAAUCAACAGAAAUUUUACAAAAAGAAGAAAAUAAGAAUGCAGAAUAGAAAUAUAGUGACUUUUUAAUUGAUGAAUUUUCACAGAAGAUAUUUAUGUUUUGGCCGAAACCAUUGGAUUUAUCCAGUUGAGAAUCUAAUUCCUCCAGCAUUGUGUGUCUUUCUGAAUCAUGGUUAUUUCCUUGCUGAGGGGGAGGAUGUGGUUAUAACCCCGACGAGAAUUGAACCCAUUUUUAAUAAGAAGAAAGUCGUUCGAUUUUCGGUAUGAGAAUUUAUAUUUUUUUGACAUUUAAUUUUUAUUUAUUUGACAAUUUAUUGUCAGAGUCAGUAGAUAAAUACUUGAUAGAUUUUUUUUAAGAAAGGAUUGGAUAAAGCUCAAAUUACAUAUGUAGAAUAAAAAGCAAUAAAUUUGGAAUUAUUUAAUAAGUAUG